This 652-nucleotide long non-coding RNA is filed under the name Rhinolophus ferrumequinum (greater horseshoe bat). RNAcentral describes it as "lncRNA (ENSRFEG00010017540.1)". The record is from RNAcentral. Lineage: Eukaryota; Metazoa; Chordata; Mammalia; Chiroptera; Rhinolophidae.
GAGAAAGGGGGCAGACGUGUCUUCCUGGCUGAAUUGGCCCAUUGUUACUGGACUCGUCGAGUACGCAGUAAAGAAUUCAUGCUUACUAAUGUUGAACCUGAACUCUGCACUUUAAGGCAGUUACCCUUAACAUGUUCUAGGAGGAUUUCAGUACUACGUAAUCCCUUAGCAAUUCUUCACAUUUACUAAUAUGUAGUGUUGUUUUCUAUGUACAUGUAUGUUGUGACUAUUUGUCGAUAUCUACUUACACAGUGCUCAUUUUGAAUUAUUAACCUGUAGCCUGUUGAGUUUCAAGGGCACCGAGUGAAAGGAUCAGCGAGCAGCGCCGUGAUGAUCAGAGGACAGAUUCCAGGGGGGGCCGCAUGUGAGAACUGCACGCCUGACAUUUGUUUUUUGGCACCAGAGCGGCCUAGCACUUGUAUGCAGGCUGACUUCUUGCAGUUGGCUGAAUGGAGGGUUGCUGAACCAGGGAUGUGGAGGCCACUGUGUGCUCAUUGGAAACAAUCGUGUGUAACUGGACCCAUGAGGCUCAAACGUGAUGUUCCCGGGUCAACACAUGGACCUGUAGGAGCUCUUUCUAUGUUAGGAAAACCAACCUGUCAGCAUUUUUCCUCACUGGUUACUAUUGUGACUCGGCUUAUGAUUUUUCCCG